Molecule: long non-coding RNA, 1234 nt
Filed under: Salmo salar (Atlantic salmon)
Lineage: Eukaryota; Metazoa; Chordata; Actinopteri; Salmoniformes; Salmonidae
Description: lncRNA (ENSSSAG00000092138.1)
Source: RNAcentral
UAAUAUCAGAACAUCAGACAUGUUAAUAUGUGUUGUAGUGGUUUAAUAAUAUCAGAACAUCGGACAUGUUAAUAUGUGUUGUAGUGGUUUAAUAAUAUCAGAACAUCAGACAUGUUAAUAUGUGUUGUAGUGGUUUAAUAAUAUCAGAAUAUCAGACAUGUUAAUAUGUGGAUGGGCAUUACUCUGGAUCAGAAGGUUGGGUUUUGGUUGGGGAGAUGGAUGGGCAUUACUCUGGAUCAGAAGGUUGGGUUUUGGUUGGGGAGGUGGAUGGGCAUUACUCUGGAUCAGAAGGUUGGGUUUUGGUUGGGGAGGUGGAUGGGCAUUACUCUGGAUCAGAAGGUUGGGUUUUGGUUGGGGAGGUGGAUGGGCAUUACUCUGGAUCAGAAGGUUGGGUUUUGGUUGGGGAGGUUGAUGGGCAUUACUCUGGAUCAGAAGGUUGGGUUUUGGGUUGGGGAGAUGGAUGGGCAUUACUCUGGAUCAGAAGGUUGGGUUUUGGUUGGGGAGGUGGAUGGGCAUUACUCUGGAUCAGAAGGUUGGGUUUUGGUUGGGGAGGUGGAUGGGCAUUACUCUGGAUCAGAAGGUUGGGUUUUGGUUGGGGAGACGGAUGGGCAUUACUCUGGAUCAGAAGGUUGGGUUUUGGUUGGGGAGGCGGAUGGGCAUUACUCUGGAUCAGAAGGUUGGGUUUUAGUUGGGGAGGUGGAUGGGCAUUACUCUGGAUCAGAAGGUUGGGUUUUGGUUGGGGAGGUGGGAUGGGCAUUACUCUGGAUCAGAAGGUUGGGUUUUGGUUGGGGAGGUUGAUGGGCAUUACUCUGGAUCAGAAGGUUGGGUUUUGGUUGGGGAGGUUGAUGGGCAUUACUCUGGAUCAGAAGGUUGGGUUUUGGUUGGGGAGGUGGAUGGGCAUUACUCUGGAUCAGAAGGUUGGGUGUCUGAUCCCAGUAUUUUUUAAUUUAUACUGAACAAAAAUAUAACGCAACAUGCAACAAUAUCAAAGAUUUUACUGAGUUACAGUUCAUAGAAGGAAAUCCAUCAGUUGAAAUAAAUAAAUGAGGUCCUAAUCUAUGGAUUUCACAUGACUGGGCAGGGGCUCAGCAAUGAGUGGCCCCUGGGAGGGCAUAGGCCCACCCACUUGGGAGCCGGGUCUACCCACUGGGGAGGCAUUCCCAGCCAAUCAGAAUUAUUUUUCCCCCACAAAAGGGUUUUAUUACACACAGAAAUACUCCUGUGCACCCCUCCC